CGCCGCAUGCCACAUUCACAGUGAAGUCGCUUGCGGCUUCGUAGAUAAUUUAAGGAAACCUAUGAUAUAAGAUAAUUUAAGGAAACCUAUGAUAUAAGGAAACAUAGUGUAAUAAAGAAUGUGUAAGUUUUAGGUAGUGAAGAUGGGGACAGAGCUGCAGAGUGGUGUUGGCUGCUCGAUGUUUACAGACAGGAGUGUCAGCUCAGCGUAUCGUAAUAUCACUACACGUGCAUCUUUGACGAGUCAACAUGUAUGGCAGGGCCAGCAGCCGGAAAAUGCUUACGCGGGGACACUCAUGUAAGAGACCUCCUCGGGAGGGCAGAAAGUGACGCGCCCUCGUCGUGGUCAGACCUCUGGCGAAAAGUUGUACUUCCCGUCUACCUCUCUAAGGCCUAGAAUACGUUUGACCGAAAAACGAAUAAAUGUGAUUCGCGUCAACGUA
This is a long non-coding RNA of Eriocheir sinensis (Chinese mitten crab), 442 nucleotides long. RefSeq lists it as uncharacterized. The record is from RefSeq and is a predicted model, not a curated record. Lineage: Eukaryota; Metazoa; Arthropoda; Malacostraca; Decapoda; Varunidae. The transcript is spliced from 2 exons.